Molecule: long non-coding RNA, 2533 nt
Organism: Hemicordylus capensis (graceful crag lizard)
Lineage: Eukaryota; Metazoa; Chordata; Lepidosauria; Squamata; Cordylidae
Exons: 4
Source: RefSeq, a predicted model, not a curated record
GCGAAAGCCAAUGAAAUUUAAGCAACAGGAGGAGCUUCCUCCCUUAACUCCAGUUUGGGCGAGUUGCUCAAACCAGAUGAUCUAUUCCAGCCUCCAGACCCGCAGUUUCAUGUAGAUGUUAAACAGCAUUGGAGACAGUAUGGAGCCCAGAGGGACAGCAUACAAAAGUUCAGAUUUUGAAGAGUAACAGUCUCCAAGGGACACCAUCUGGAAUCUGCCUAAGAGGAAGUGAAUCCUCACGUGGGAAUAGAAGAAGGUAUCAUACACGCCCAAGGCUCAGACACAUCACAUGCAGCCCAGCUUUAACAGAGUUUCCAUGUGACAGCUGAUCAGCCCCUAAACUUCUUCCUUUUUGCUCUCCUUUCAGAAGAUUGUUUGGACCCAGAUAUCAACACGAGACCUUCGAGAACAUGACCUUGUGAACGUCUCUCUUUCUUUCUGUCAUAGAUAGCAAUUGGAUGGUCUGUGACCUCUGGAUCAGGCUGGGGGCACAGAGGCUGAUCCACUUUAGCCCUGCUUUGCUCAGCCACUCUAGCAUUUGGAGGAUCUUUGUCUUCUCUUUCUCUUGGAAGGCUCAUUAGGCCUGAUCUCUUUUAGCCUUUUUGCUUUGGCUCCCUAUUUCACCACACUGGAUGCUACAUCACAUCAUUCCUCAGGUCCCUCUAUAGGUUAAGCCCAAGCUCUCGUCCACGCUCCUUUUUAAACUCACAGUCAGCGCCUGAGUCUGUGUUGAGAACUCUUGAUGAAUCCUAGUUCUCGGCACAACACCGGUACGUCUAAAAGUCUGGGCUUGUGAGUCACGGUUAACACUUGGCAGAGUUCUUCAUCCUUUUGCCCUUGGCUGCUGCUUGCUAUUACGCUGGCAAAACUGAGCAGCUUAUUACAAAGACUAAAACACAGCAGUGUGAUAAAAGAAUUUGCACAAUGCAAACUGUUCUGAGCAUCUCAGCAUCACACCCUGUAUGUGCAUUCAUCACCUCAUCAGAUGCAUAUGCCAACAUGAAAGAAGAUGUCACCACACUUCUAUAGGAAAUGCUGUUGUCCUGUAACAUUGCACAGCGGGCCCUCAAGGAAUAUAACACUGAAGUUAAAAGCAAGGUUGCUUGUGCAGUCUUGAUUCAGAUAAAAGAUAUCAGGCAUGAGCUGUAAUAUACACAGCUUAUAAAAAAUAGAUGCUUUUUCUUACAACAUUAAAAAGGACUUGAUUUUUUUUUUUUAAUGCAGUUAAAAUGUGCCUCUUUUAAAAGAAAACCUGAAUUUAAUAAAAACACUUUAUGGUCAACACUAACCAUCUCUUUAAAUGGAAUCCACAGCCCUCUUAUUAAACACACUGGCUGACAUCCAAAUGAAUGAAGCACCUGUUGUAGGUAACACUGGCUAACAUGCUACACAGGCUUAGAAGGGCGGAGCAAGAGCUCUAUCCUCACAAGUAGCCAGGAAGCUAACUGUGCAUGAGGCUUGCCUUGCAAUGCAGUGUGCAGAGAGGGAGAGAUGAUUUUUUUCUCCUCUCCCCUCCAUGCAAAACCCCCUUUUGCAUCCAGGAAUAUGACCACUUGUGAGGAUGGAGCUCUUGCUGUGUUUUCCUUUGAUAAGGACAUUAGACUUUAAGUAAAUGACCUUGUUUUGCAUGGUUACAUGUGCAGGAUGUAAGAGAGAGAGUCCCAAACAAUUCCAUUAAUUUUCAGUGUCCCUGACCAGAUAAUGCUUAAAUGCAGAUGGUGCAUUUGGGCUGCCUGAACAAAGGUUUUAGAUUAUGCUCCUAAAUAAUACAAACUAAGACUGUUUAGUUCAAAACCGGUAUGUCUUAAUGAAACAUCCAGAACCUUACUUAUAGCAAAAUAAAAGUUAUACUCUUUAGAAACUGGAUUUUUCAUUGAAUUGUACUAGGCAAAGAUAUGGGGAAAGCGGAGGGGAGGGGGAAUCUAACAAAACUUUGACUUCUAGAUUGAAGCAGAUUAAACAGCAUAAUAUUAUAUCUUCCAUUCAUGAUACUCAAGGCAAUGUCCACACAGACCCUGAAUUUAUAAAUCAGUAGUUUUUAAAAUUUUAUUCUAAAUUGUAUAGUAGUAGUACAUACAAUACUGAGGUCAAUAUAGAUUGUUUCCUGCAAAAGAUGCAUCUUCCACACAUAAGACAAGAUCAGUCAAAUAAUAUAAAAUGUGUACACAGACACGUACCUACACACACAUGUUUCUAUCAAUCACAUUGAGAUUUUACAUUAUUAAUAAUGUUAAUAUUCAAUUAAUUAAACCAAUGAGUAAAUAAUAGAAAUGAAGGGAAAGAAUUAACUAAAAUUAGAAUAAAUACUUAACACUUUUGAAAAACAAAUAUAUUUCCCCUUUGGCUGGUACAAAAUAAUUGCGCUCAAGAGAAGCUUCCAAUAUAAUAUCCCUGUUGACAGAGCACUGGGCUUCUGUGGAAUUACUGAAAAUCCAGUCUUCUUUCUAAUGAGUUGUACUUGCACACUUCCUUUUUUAUCUUUUAUUUUCUUUCAGAAAUGUAUUACAUGUUAAAAAUGUAAUAUUCUGUCUAG